This 253-nucleotide ribosomal RNA is filed under the name uncultured bacterium. RNAcentral's name for it is "partial 16S ribosomal RNA". It matches the Rfam family "Bacterial small subunit ribosomal RNA", at positions 524 to 776 of the family's 1533-position model. The record is from RNAcentral.
UACAGAGGUCUCAAGCGUUGUUCGGAUUCAUUGGGCGUAAAGGGUGCGUAGGCGGCGCGGUAAGUCGGGUGUGAAAUCUCGGGGCUUAACUCCGAAACUGCAUUCGAUACUGCCGUGCUUGAGGACUGGAGAGGAGACUGGAAUUUACGGUGUAGCGGUGAAAUGCGUAGAUAUCGUAAGGAAGACCAGUGGCGAAGGCGGGUCUCUGGACAUUACCUGACGCUGAGGAGCGAAAGUGUGGGGAGCGAACAGG